CACCACCACCCCCUUGCCGCCCCGAAAUCCGGCGCCUUCCCGGGCGGCUCUCCUACACACAGGCGCACAACUUCGCGUCUUUCCAAAGGAAAGGAGGGAGACAGAGGUGAUCCUACCCCGGUCCUUCUCUCCCUCCUUGCCCGAAUCCUGGUCCUGCCCGGCCCCCGGGUGUACGGAACCAGGGUUGCAGGCGCGCCGGCAGGAGGCGGGCACCAGGUCCGCGCGCGCACAACUGCACUCACGCCCCGCACACCCGAAGAGCCCCGAACCCCGCGCGCAGACCAAGCCGGCUCCGCGCAGCCGGGCAUUCCUCGGUCGCCUGGGCCUCGGCCCCGGGUCGCCAAGAAGAGCGCAGCGGAGCUCUGCCGCCGGGCACUCGCCCGGCUCGCCAGGUCCCAGCGGACCCUAAAAGGGAAAAAGCUCCAGCACCCGGCGCUCCACUAUCGCACCCCAGGAGUACAAGGAGAGCGGGAGGAAGGCCUGGGGCCAGCGGACGCCCGGGUCUGGCCCCAAACUUACCCGGUGCUGCGAGCGCCGCUGCUGCCGCUGGAGGACGCGCCGCUGCCACAGCCACCGCUGCCCGGCAGGGCCGGCUCCGGCCGGGAGGAGCUGCGAGGGCGCCGAGACGGGCUCCGCGCCGGCUUCUGCUCCGCGCCGACCGGGGCUGGGGUCACCGCGCUGCGCCGGCGCUGCUCGCUUGCUCGGCCGCCCGGUCGCUGCUCGCCGCCCGCCGCCUGGCCGAUCGCUCUCCCGGGCACUCGCCCGGCUCGCCAGGUCCCAGCGGACCCUAAAAGGGAAAAAGCUCCAGCACCCGGCGCUCCACUAUCGCACCCCAGGAGUACAAGGAGAGCGGGAGGAAGGCCUGGGGCCAGCGGACGCCCGGGUCUGGCCCCAAACUUACCCGGUGCUGCGAGCGCCGCUGCUGCCGCUGGAGGACGCGCCGCUGCCACAGCCACCGCUGCCCGGCAGGGCCGGCUCCGGCCGGGAGGAGCUGCGAGGGCGCCGAGACGGGCUCCGCGCCGGCUUCUGCUCCGCGCCGACCGGGGCUGGGGUCACCGCGCUGCGCCGGCGCUGCUCGCUUGCUCGGCCGCCCGGUCGCUGCUCGCCGCCCGCCGCCUGGCCGAUCGCUCUCCCGGGCGCCCGCCGCCGCUCGCUUUUUUAAUGUCCACAGACAGUGAAAAGGAACUCGGCGUUAGGGGGUGA
Molecule: long non-coding RNA, 1203 nt
Filed under: Bos grunniens (domestic yak)
Lineage: Eukaryota; Metazoa; Chordata; Mammalia; Artiodactyla; Bovidae
Description: lncRNA (ENSBGRG00000025941.1)
Source: RNAcentral